GGCUCCCUAAUGUAGUGGUAAUCACGUCUGCUUUACACUCAGAAGGUCCUAGAUUCGUGCCCUAGGUGGAGCCA
RNAcentral lists this transfer RNA (74 nucleotides) under Pteropus alecto (black flying fox). It matches the Rfam family "tRNA". From Rfam's summary of the family: Transfer RNA (tRNA) molecules are approximately 80 nucleotides in length. Their secondary structure includes four short double-helical elements and three loops (D, anti-codon, and T loops). The record is from Rfam by way of RNAcentral. Lineage: Eukaryota; Metazoa; Chordata; Mammalia; Chiroptera; Pteropodidae.